UACAGAGGGGGCGAGCGUUAUUCGGAAUUAUUGGGCGUAAAGGGCGCGUAGGCGGCCUUUCAAGUGACGGGUGAAAUCCCUCGGCUUAACCGAGGAACUGCCUGUCAGACUGGAAGGCUUGAGACCGGGAGAGGUGAGUGGAAUUCCCAGUGUAGCGGUGAAAUGCGUAGAUAUUGGGAGGAACACCAGUGGCGAAGGCGGCUCACUGGACCGGUACUGACGCUGAGGCGCGAAAGCGUGGGGAGCGAACCGG
RNAcentral lists this ribosomal RNA (253 nucleotides) under uncultured bacterium. RNAcentral describes it as "partial 16S ribosomal RNA". It matches the Rfam family "Bacterial small subunit ribosomal RNA", at positions 524 to 776 of the family's 1533-position model. The record is from RNAcentral.